CCUACGGGAGGCAGCAGUGAGGAAUAUUGGACAAUGGGCGAAAGCCUGAUCCAGCCAUGCCGCGUGUGUGAAGAAGGUCUUCGGAUUGUAAAGCACUUUAAGUUGGGAGGAAGGGCGGUUACCUAAUACGUAAUUGUUUUGACGUUACCGACAGAAUAAGCACCGGCUAACUCUGUGCCAGCAGCCGCGGUAAU
Molecule: ribosomal RNA, 194 nt
Filed under: uncultured bacterium
Lineage: Bacteria
Description: partial 16S ribosomal RNA
Rfam family: Bacterial small subunit ribosomal RNA
Source: RNAcentral